Molecule: long non-coding RNA, 133 nt
Organism: Aquila chrysaetos chrysaetos
Lineage: Eukaryota; Metazoa; Chordata; Aves; Accipitriformes; Accipitridae
Exons: 3
Source: RefSeq, a predicted model, not a curated record
UUGGCCAGCGGCGGGUCCGACUUGGAGCCAGGGAAGCUUCUAGCAGCUUCUCACAGAGGCCACCCCUGCGGCCCCCUCCCCCACUACCAAAAAACUCCACGCCACACAAACCCAUGACACCAAAUAAUCUUAC